This 617-nucleotide ribosomal RNA is filed under the name uncultured bacterium. RNAcentral's name for it is "partial 16S ribosomal RNA". The record is from RNAcentral.
UCCAUUGCCGAAUGGUUCCGCUACUACGGAUCCCCGGGACUCUCCCCUUAGGGGGUGUGACCAUGACUCUGUGCCUGGUCUGAGGAUGCCCUCCGUCGUCAUCCCUUAUAACCAGUUACCAGCCCUCUGACUUGGUCGGUACGGCGCACGCCCUUCUUCCGGGAUGCCCAGCAUUUGGCGAAAACAUGCCCUUGUUGGCAUCCAUGCACAUGGAUGGACUCACAUGGCAUUCUUAUUCCUAGCCGAUUGAGGCACGGUCGUCGGCGCCAUUAUGCCUCCUAGGCUCGCAAUAGGCCUUAAUAACCCAAAUUUCCCACGCAUCCGCCGUAAAAUUCAGUCCCCACUUUAUGUAGCCGAGUUGGCCACGUCACGGGAACUUUGACUUCACGAACUUACACAAGCUUCCUCCGCCUUGCCCUGUUCAUCGCCACUUUACGUAUCUAUACAGGGUCUUGGGGCUAACGCGUCCGUCGAAGGAUCCGGUGCUAACUGCGACUACGUGCUUUCGCACCCAUAGCUUGUCCUAAUCUAUGGGACCAUCAGGUGCGGGAUUUGCUACUACUGAGCUACAAACGCUAUAUCACAUUCGCAGGUUCGCUUUCGCAAUUCAGUAGGUG